CAGCCGCCGCGGUAAUACGGAGGGUGCAAGCGUUAAUCGGAAUUACUGGGCGUAAAGCGCACGCAGGCGGUCUGACAAGUCAGAUGUGAAAUCCCCGGGCUUAACCUGGGAACUGCAUCCAAAACUGGCAAGCUAGAGUACGGUAGAGGGUGGUGGAAUUUCCUGUGUAGCGGUGAAAUGCGUAGAUAUAGGAAGGAACACCAGUGGCGAAGGCGACCACCUGGACUGAUACUGACACUGAGGUGCGAAAGCGUGGGGAGCAAACAGGAUUAGAUACCCCAGUAGUCCCUGUCUCUUAUAC
This 301-nucleotide ribosomal RNA is filed under the name uncultured bacterium. RNAcentral describes it as "partial 16S ribosomal RNA". It matches the Rfam family "Bacterial small subunit ribosomal RNA", at positions 509 to 807 of the family's 1533-position model. The record is from RNAcentral.